Molecule: ribosomal RNA, 301 nt
Filed under: uncultured bacterium
Lineage: Bacteria
Description: partial 16S ribosomal RNA
Rfam family: Bacterial small subunit ribosomal RNA
Source: RNAcentral
CAGUAGCCGCGGGAAUACGGAGGAUCCUAGCGUUAUCCGGAUUUAUUGGGUUUAAAGGGUGCGUAGGCGGCCUAUUAAGUCAGGGGUGAAAGACGGUAGCUUAACUAUCGCAGUGCCUUUGUUACUGAUGGGCUUGAAUACACUUGAGGUAGGCGGAAUGUGACAAGUAGCGGUGAAAUGCAUAGAUAUAUCACAGAACACCAAUUGCGAAGGCAGCUUACUAAAGUGUCAUUGGCGCUGAGGCACGAAAGCGUGGGGAUCAAACAGGAUUAGAUACCCCCGUAGUCCCUGUCUCUUAUAA